GAUGAACGCUAGCGGCAGGCUUAACACAUGCAAGUCGAGAGGUAUAGUUCUUCGGAAUUAGAGACCGGCGCACGGGUGCGUAACGCGUAUGCAAUCUACCUUUCACAGAGGGAUAGCCCAGAGAAAUUUGGAUUAAUACCUCAUAGUAUAGCAGUUUCGCAUGAAACCACUAUUAAAGUCACAACGGUGAAAGAUGAGCAUGCGUCCCAUUAGCUAGUUGGUAAGGUAACGGCUUACCAAGGCAACGAUGGGUAGGGGUCCUGAGAGGGAGAUCCCCCACACUGGUACUGAGACACGGACCAGACUCCUAACGGGAGACAGCAGUGAGGAAUAUUGGACCAAAUGGGCGCAAGCCUGAUCCAGCCAUGCCGCGUGCAGGAAGAAGGUCCUAUGGAUUG
RNAcentral lists this ribosomal RNA (398 nucleotides) under uncultured bacterium. RNAcentral's name for it is "bacterial SSU rRNA". It matches the Rfam family "Bacterial small subunit ribosomal RNA", at positions 28 to 425 of the family's 1533-position model. The record is from RNAcentral.